RNAcentral lists this unclassified non-coding RNA (337 nucleotides) under soil metagenome. Its description in RNAcentral is "partial contains 5.8S ribosomal RNA, internal transcribed spacer 2, and large subunit ribosomal RNA". The stretch from base 1 to 120 matches the Rfam family "5.8S ribosomal RNA", at positions 35 to 154 of the family's 154-position model. The record is from RNAcentral.
GAUGAAGAACGUAGCUAAAUGCGAUAAGUAGUGUGAAUUGCAGAAUUCAGUGAAUCAUCGAAUCUUUGAACGCACAUUGCGCCCCUUGGUAUUCCAUGGGGCAUGCCUGUUCGAGCGUCAUUUGUACCUUCAAGCUCUGCUUGGUGUUGGGUGUUUGUCUCGCCUCUGCGUGUAGACUCGCCUUAAAACAAUUGGCAGCCGGCGUAUUGAUUUCGGAGCGCAGUACAUCUCGCGCUUUGCACUCAUAACGACGACGUCCAAAAGUACAUUUUUACACUCUUGACCUCGGAUCAGGUAGGGAUACCCGCUGAACUUAAGCAUAUCAAUAAGCGGAGGA